RNAcentral lists this ribosomal RNA (114 nucleotides) under Zingiber officinale. The record is from RNAcentral. Lineage: Eukaryota; Viridiplantae; Streptophyta; Magnoliopsida; Zingiberales; Zingiberaceae.
GCGAUCAUACCAGUACUAAUGCACCGGAUCCCAUCAGAACUCCGAAGUUAAGCGUGCUUGGGCGAGAGCAGUACUAGGAUGGGUGACCCCCUGGGAAGUCCUCGUGUUGCACCU